UGGGGAAUUUUGGACAAUGGGCGAAAGCCUGAUCCAGCAAUGCCGCGUGUGUGAAGAAGGCCUUCGGGUUGUAAAGCACUUUUGUCCGGAAAGAAAUCCUUGGCUCUAAUACAGUCGGGGGAUGACGGUACCGGAAGAAUAAGCACCGGCUAACUACGUGCCAGCAGCCGCGGUAAUACGUAGGGUGCAAGCGUUAAUCGGAAUUACUGGGCGUAAAGCGUGCGCAGGCGGUUUGCUAAGACCGAUGUGAAAUCCCCGGGCUCAACCUGGGAACUGCAUUGGUGACUGGCAGGCUAGAGUAUGGCAGAGGGGGGUUAGAAUUCCACGUGUAGCAGUGAAAUGCGUAGAGAUGUGGAGGAAUACCGAUGGCGAAGGCAGCCCCCUGGGCCAAUACUGACGCUCAUGCACGAAAGCGUGGGGGAGCAAACAGGAUUAGAUACCCUGGUAGUCCACGCCCUAAACGAUGUCAACUAGUUGUUGGGGAUUCAUUUCCUUAGUAACGUAGCUAACGCGUGAAGUUGACCGCCUGGGGAGUACGGUCGCAAGAUU
Molecule: ribosomal RNA, 549 nt
Filed under: uncultured bacterium
Lineage: Bacteria
Description: partial 16S ribosomal RNA
Rfam family: Bacterial small subunit ribosomal RNA
Source: RNAcentral